UACGUAGGGUGCGAAGCGUUGUCCGGAAUUAUUGGGUACGGUAAAGAGCUCGUAGGCGGUCUGUUGCGAUUCGGCUGUGAAACCCGGGCUCAACUCGGCCUGCAGCCGAUACGGGCAGACUAGAGUUCGGCAGGGGAGACUGGAAUUCCUGGUGUAGCGGUGAAAUUCGUAGAUAUCAGGAGGAACACCAGUGGCGAAGGCGGACUUCCUGGACACUAACUGACGCUGAGACGCGAAAGCGUAGGGGAGCGAAACAGG
Molecule: ribosomal RNA, 258 nt
Filed under: uncultured bacterium
Lineage: Bacteria
Description: partial 16S ribosomal RNA
Rfam family: Bacterial small subunit ribosomal RNA
Source: RNAcentral